ACUCCUGGAGUAUGUGAAUGUGUACGCUUAAUUUCCAGUUAAGAGGCUCCCUGGAUAGCAGGGCAGGAGUA
RNAcentral lists this transfer RNA (71 nucleotides) under Polyplax asiatica. RNAcentral's name for it is "tRNA-Gly". Lineage: Eukaryota; Metazoa; Arthropoda; Insecta; Psocodea; Polyplacidae. The record is from RNAcentral.